UACGGAGGGUGCAAGCGUUAAUCGGAAUUACUGGGCGUAAAGCGCACGCAGGCGGUCUGUCAAGUCGGAUGUGAAAUCCCCGGGCUCAACCUGGGAACUGCAUCCGAAACUGGAUAUCUAGAGUGCGGGAGAGGAGAAUGGAAUUCCUAGUGUAGCGGUGAAAUGCGUAGAUAUUAGGAGGAACACCAGUGGCGAAAGCGGAUUACUGGACGACAACUGACGGUGAGGCGCGAAAGCGUGGGGAGCAAAC
Molecule: ribosomal RNA, 250 nt
Filed under: uncultured bacterium
Lineage: Bacteria
Description: partial 16S ribosomal RNA
Rfam family: Bacterial small subunit ribosomal RNA
Source: RNAcentral